Molecule: long non-coding RNA, 1088 nt
Filed under: Citrus x clementina
Lineage: Eukaryota; Viridiplantae; Streptophyta; Magnoliopsida; Sapindales; Rutaceae
Description: Citrus clementina (C. clementina) long non-coding RNA (CCLE_LNC003628)
Source: RNAcentral
AAUAUAAAAUUAGACGAACAUUAAAUUUAAAAUAUAACAACUAAAUACACAUUUACCCUCAAAUAAAAUUAGUCGAGCGUUUGUUCCCAUCACAUUUCUAGUUAUAGAUCUGCUAGCAAUUCCAAAAACACGCUAGUCGAAAGGAAGCCAGUUAGCUGUUGAUACUUGGUAGUAUCGCCGCGGAAUUCCACUAGUUUUUUCUCUCCAAAUUCCAAUGCUCUGGUGUUUGCAUGGGAAAGUGCCAAACACUUACGAUGAAAGAGAAAUAAAAAUCGAUGGUUACCGCUCAAACGAAUAAAAAAUAAAUAAAAAGGGAGAGAGAGAGAGAGAGAGAGAGAAAAGAGUUAUAGUGAAUGGCCCAGCCCAGGGCGCUCGACUUGGUGUACGGAAGCAGUAAUGACUGUUCGGAAAGGUCCCAACUCAAGCCAACCACGUGGAGAAACAAGAGGUGAGGGUUAUUUGUGACAGAGACAACAUGAUCGCUAGACGGUAAAUGAAUCUCCAGCCAGAAAAUGGGGUCCCCAAACGAAACAGCUGUGAAAGAAGAGAAAAGGACAAGACUAAGCCUAUGAUAAUAGCCAUUAGGUGUAAUGAACGUAAAACAUAGGAUGGUAGUGUAAAUUAGCUGUGUUGUCGUAAAUUUCCUGACAUGUAGGGCGGCGCCGUAAAUGAUUGCAACAUAUAUGUGCAAGCUGUGGGGAGAGCCGAAGAGAUGGAGAGAGAGGGAAAGAGACCUUUAAUGGGGAUGGCCAUUGCGUUACUAAGUCGCUUUCAACCUGCUACAGUUCUGCUGCUGCUGCAACCACCGGGCUAGCUACUGUCAAGUGUCAACAUGGCUACGACUGUCAACAUUGACGACGAAGUUUCACCUCUUUUUACACAAUGAAUGUUCGUGUUUCCCUGCUCUGCCCACUGACUUCCUUUAGGGUGAGUUUAGUUACGAAAUCUAUCCAAUAAUACUGUAUUUACGGUGUGUUUACUUCAUAGAAUGAAUAAUUAAAAUAAAUUAACGGUAUGUUUAUUUUAUAAAAUGAUGGUGAGGAUGAGGGUGAGAAUGAUAUUUUAAUAUUUAUUUAAUAAAAAUAAAU